This 242-nucleotide unclassified non-coding RNA is filed under the name Rhizophagus prolifer. RNAcentral's name for it is "partial contains 5.8S ribosomal RNA and internal transcribed spacer 2". The stretch from base 1 to 71 matches the Rfam family "5.8S ribosomal RNA", at positions 84 to 154 of the family's 154-position model. Lineage: Eukaryota; Fungi; Glomeromycota; Glomeromycetes; Glomerales; Glomeraceae. The record is from RNAcentral.
GUGAAUCAUCAAAUUUUUGAACGCAAAUUGCACUCUCUGGUAACCCGGGGAGUAUGCCUGUUUGAGGGUCAGUGUUAAUAAAAGUCGGUGCGUUGCAAUUUUUGUGAGGUUCGGGGGUUGGGGUUAUCUUCUGGGUUUUUAAGGGGCUUAAAAUUAACCUUUUGGUGCAUUUUAGACUUACGUAGAUUUUUUUUAUUCGUUUAUCUUAUUGCAAAAUCAAUUAAAUGCGACAAUAUCAGUUG